RNAcentral lists this ribosomal RNA (490 nucleotides) under uncultured bacterium. RNAcentral's name for it is "partial 16S ribosomal RNA". It matches the Rfam family "Bacterial small subunit ribosomal RNA", at positions 28 to 507 of the family's 1533-position model. The record is from RNAcentral.
GAUGAACGCUAGCGAUAGGCUUAACACAUGCGAGUCGAGGGGCAGCAUGGUCUUAGCUUGCUAAGACUGAUGGCGACCGGCGCACGGGUGCGUAACGCGUAUGCAACUUGCCUCACAGAGGGGGAUAACCCGUCGAAAGACGGACUAAUACCGCGUACACUUGGGAUAGGGCAUCCUGACCCAAGGAAAUGAAAUUCGCUGUGAGAUAGGCAUGCGUCCCAUUAGCUAGUUGGUGAGGUAACGGCUCACCAAGGCGACGAUGGGUAGGGGAACUGAGAGGUUGAACCCCCACACUGGUACUGAGACACGGACCAGACUCCUACGGGAGGCAGCAGUGAGGAAUAUUGGUCAAUGGGCGAGAGCCUGAACCAGCCAAGUCGCGUGAAGGAUGACUGUCUUAUGGAUUGUAAACUUCUUUUAUACGGGAAUAACAAGAGCCACGUGUGGCUCCCUGCAUGUACCGUAUGAAUAAGCAUCGGCUAACUCCGUG